Molecule: ribosomal RNA, 497 nt
Filed under: uncultured bacterium
Lineage: Bacteria
Description: partial 16S ribosomal RNA
Rfam family: Bacterial small subunit ribosomal RNA
Source: RNAcentral
GAUGAACGCUGGCGGCGUGCCUAAUACAUGCAAGUCGAGCGAACGGACGAGAAGCUUGCUUCUCUGAUGUUAGCGGCGGACGGGUGAGUAACACGUGGAUAACCUACCUAUAAGACUGGGAUAACUUCGGGAAACCGGAGCUAAUACCGGAUAAUAUUUUGAACCGCAUGGUUCAAAAGUGAAAGACGGUCUUGCUGUCACUUAUAGAUGGAUCCGCGCUGCAUUAGCUAGUUGGUAAGGUAACGGCUUACCAAGGCAACGAUGCAUAGCCGACCUGAGAGGGUGAUCGGCCACACUGGAACUGAGACACGGUCCAGACUCCUACGGGAGGCAGCAGUAGGGAAUCUUCCGCAAAGGGCGUAAGCCUGACGGAGCAACGCCGCGUGAGUGAUGAAGGUCUUCGGAUCGUAAAACUCUGUUAUUAGGGAAGAACAUAUGUGUAAGUAACUGUGCACAUCUUGACGGUACCUAAUCAGAAAGCCACGGCUAACUACGUG